CUUGUCAGCUGAUUGAUUAUGAAUAAUUCUACAGCAAUGGUUUACAAAACAUCCCAAGGCGUGGGUUGCUUUUCGUGGGUCUACUUUGCGGCAGGCCUAAAUCAUUACCUGAAGAUGAGAGAAAUAAGCAAAUAAUGAUCUAUUAAGAUUACUGUAAAAGUGGAAUAAUGAAAGAUAACUGAACUUUCAUGUAUCAACACUGUACAAUUUCCUAUACUGAGAUAAUUUAGCUCGUAUUUAUGAAUGAAUUUCUUUCAUAGUUAUGAAUUAAUUGUUACUAUUUUUCAUUGAUUUAUUGGGGUUUCAAUAUAAUAAUAAUAUCGAGUAACCUGGUUGACUCAGCUCAGAUGUCAGAGUUUUCAGGUCGCACUUGUCAUACAGGUCUCAGGUCUCAGUUUUCAUACAGAGUGUAGUUGGAGCAAUUUUUUGAAACUAUAUUGAACAAUUUCCUAUAAUGAGAUGAUUUAUAUUUAGCACGUAUUUGAAUUUAUUUCAUAGUAAUGAAUGAACUGUUACUUUCCAUUGAACUAUUGUUUUUUUUUUGAAAUUGUCAUACAGUGUGUUUAGUUAAAGCAAUUUUUUGAACACGCUUUGAAUUUUAUUGCUAUAUUUUCAAAUGAUUAAAUUUCAAUCUCCUAGUAAUGUCUUCGUUUUUUUUUUUUUGUCUUGAUGAUGACAUUAUUUCAGAGCAAUUUUUUAAACACGGUUUGAUAAUUUGUUGCUAUGUUUUCAAAAAUGAUAAAUUCCAAUCUCAUAGUAAUGACUUUGUCUUGAUGAUAACAUUAUUUCAGAGCAAUUUUCUGAACACGAUUUGGUAUUUUGUUGCUGUAUUUUCAAAUGAUUAAAGUUUAAUCGCAUAGUAAUAACUUAAUCUUUUUGUCUUGAUGAUGGAAUUAUAUUGUAAAGUAAAUAGUUGAUAAUCAUGGAAUGAUGCCUCUAGUUGUAAUAAAUUUCAUAUAAUUUUUAAU
Molecule: long non-coding RNA, 968 nt
Filed under: Nilaparvata lugens (brown planthopper)
Lineage: Eukaryota; Metazoa; Arthropoda; Insecta; Hemiptera; Delphacidae
Description: uncharacterized LOC120354240
Source: RNAcentral